UGCAAUCUUUGUGUUUUGAAAGCAGAUAGGAAGAGCAAGGGGUGAAUGUGAUUGAGAAACUGAGGGACACUGUAAAGUUAUAUUCUAGCAACUUGCCAAUCACAGAGUAAAUCACACCCAGCUUUAGCCUCCCUAUUCUAAGGGCCUUUGUUCACUGAAAGCAAUUGUUGUGCUCUCAGCAUCUAUUUUCUACACAAACUAAGAAGAAUUUGAAUAUAAUGGAGGUCAAAGUUCUUGCCACAAAAACACACCUGACAGUUCAACAUUUGGAACACUGCUGCACUUAUCGAUGUCACUUUCCCUGACAAACCAAUCAAAAUCAAGAGUGAGCAAGACUUGCGCUAUACUUUCAGAAGUAAUGGCAAAAACAUUUUUCAUUUUGCCUUUGUACACCACAAUACUGGAUUUGAUAUCAAACACUCAAUAAAUGAUUGAUGUGUGGAUUUAAGCUUUAAUUAGGGUUUAACAAAAGUAUAUUAGAAAUUAAGUUGGAAAUCAGAGAGGAUUUUUUGUUGUAUUUUUUUUUUUUUUAAUUUGGAUGAAAAAAUGUCUUCCUUUUUCCAAGGCUGGAAAGAUGGCACUUGAUCUGAUAAAUCUUGAUUUGAUGUGAUUAUGAAGCAUAGAUAAUGAAUGACUCCAUGGACCAAGUAGUGAAUGCUUUCCCAUGCACACUUUGGCACACUUAAACCACAGCCAAGAGGGGUUUUUUGGGGUUUGUUUUUUUUUUACCUAAAGAAUGAUUCCUAAAAACCAAAGGUUCAGUUUGUAUGAGUGAAAAACCAUUAUAGACUUGUCAGUAUGUCAUCUAGGUAGAAGAAUUUAAAAUCCUUCUCACAUACAAGAGCUGGUAUAAUCAGGUCCCACUGUACAUUAAAGACCUCAUAGCCCCAGUAUAGUGCUUUGCUAUCAGAUUCUUGGCUUACUUGUGGUUCUUAGGAUAUUUAAAAGCAGAGCCUUCAUCUUUCAGGACCCUCUGCUGUGGAACCAGUAGUAAGGGCUGGAUCAGGUAAGCAUGAAGUUACACGGCUAUUAGCCUAGGAUGCUGAUGGCUUCCCAUGAGUGUUUCUUCUUCAUUCCCCCCUUCAGUUUGUGUUUAUACACCACUCUUCAAUUAAUCAUUAGUUAUUAUUUAUCUCUGUUAAUUAAUCUCUUCCCUUAUCCCCAACCAGUCUUGGCAGAUGGCUGCCCCUCACUGAGCCUGGUUCUGCUGGAGAUUUCUUUAUGCCAAAAGGGAGUUUUUCCUUCCCACUGUUUCCGAAGUGCUUGCUCACAGAGAAUCGUCGGAUUGUUAACAUUUCUCUCAAGCUCCUUGAGGCUUUGUGAAAGUCUGGAAUUAUUCUACAGCAGCCUCUAACGUGACAUAAAGAAGUGCUGCUUAAUAAAUGGCACUGUCUACUAUUGUUACAAUCACCUGUCUUGUUCUGCUCCCACCCCUGACACCAACCAGUCACCUCAAAAUUACAUGUGAUUCAAGGUUGUCCCUUUGCAUGGUAAAGAAAUGCAGUAUAAAGGGAAAUUAAAUGUCAUUUCUCACCAGCCUCCACAGUCCAAUAAUGAGUAAAUCACAAAAAUAGUCAUAAAAAACUUAAACUAAAGGAUAAAUAACAAUCAAGCAGCUGAGACACUCAGCAAUCCCCUGAUGAUGGAAGACACUUAUGUAUUGGUUACACUGAAAGCAUAAUACUAUAUUAGCUCAAACAGUAGUGUUGGAAGGUUAGUGGCUCGAUCCCCAACUUCUUCGGUUUGUAUGUUGAUCUAUCUUUAAAAAAAAAAAAAAAGAACUGGACUUCACAGUAUAGUGAAUGUGAUUUUGUGUGUUGAGCUGAGUAGAAAAGUGCUAUAUAAAUAUUGUCCAUUUUUACUACACCUCAGUGCACAAACCAAACAUAAUGCAAAAAGCUGAUGAAUAGAGAAGUGAUGGGAUAUGCAUGCAUUACCAUUACUGGGAACUGUAUAGGUAUACGUAAUUAAGAAACAUACAAUUACUUCCCAAUCAUGCCUGAAAGCUCCCUGCAGGUCAGACGACCUUUACGUUCACAGAGUGUCACAGGGUAGCUUUCAAUGUUUCAUUGUGUCAGGAGAAAUGUCUCUGCGGCCUCCUCCUCCAAACAUUUAACUGUUAAUUGUGUACCUAGUCUGAGCUGUGUAGUAGUGAUUUCCCCCCCUUAAAAACACUUCACACUGCUUAAUCCAGAUUGGUCUGUGUUUGAAUGCCACAGUCAGAGUAUUGUCAUCAAGCAAAGGUCAUAUGAAUCUAGUUUUGGGAACAUCACAUUGAGUUUAAUGAACUACAGGCCCUGCCAGU
Molecule: long non-coding RNA, 2305 nt
Organism: Astatotilapia calliptera (eastern happy)
Lineage: Eukaryota; Metazoa; Chordata; Actinopteri; Cichliformes; Cichlidae
Source: Ensembl